GGAAGAUCAGCCUCACAGCAAACCCCUCCGGAGCCUCGAUGUCAGCGUGGCUCUCCUGGCCUUUGAGAUAUGGCUCUGGGUAUCCGGGGGAUGUCAGUUGCUGUGGUAACUGCUGGGCCAAAAGCUGAGAGGCCUGUGUGGGGCAAGUGUGGAGGAUUCCCCAAAGGAUCAUCCAGCACCUGCGAGUGAGCAGGGGCGACAAGGUGUGAAGGCCAAAGUUUGUAUUUGGGUAAAAGGGAGGAAGCCUCCAGGGACUCGGGACUGGAGAGGGAGCGUGACGUCUGUGCGCGGAGCUGGAUCUCACUGCUAGUUUCAAGCUCUCUUAGAACUCACUGUGUAGACCAGGUUGACCCUGAGCUCACAGAGAUCUACCUGCCACUGCUAGGAUUAAAGGUGUGUGUUGCCCACCUUGACUGUGGGCAGUACUGUGUCCCUGGGCGAGGGUUCUGGGCUGUACAGAAAGGAGACCAGCUUGUGACGAGCAUGGGCGCUUUGUCCUUCUGCUUCCUGAUUGCGGAUGUGAACAGCUGUUCCAGUCCCUGCUGCUCCGCCUCCCUGCUUGGAUG
Long non-coding RNA from Grammomys surdaster, 566 nucleotides. RefSeq lists it as uncharacterized. NCBI's taxonomy places the organism in Eukaryota, Metazoa, Chordata, Mammalia, Rodentia, Muridae. The transcript has 3 exons. The record is from RefSeq and is a predicted model, not a curated record.